GUCUACUGCCAUACCACAUUAAACAUGCCCAAUCUUGUCUGAUCGCAGAAGCUACGCAGGGUUGGGCCUGGUUAGUACUUGGAUGGAAUAAAUAUACUUGGAAGCAUUUUACA
This 113-nucleotide ribosomal RNA is filed under the name Ochotona princeps (American pika). Lineage: Eukaryota; Metazoa; Chordata; Mammalia; Lagomorpha; Ochotonidae. The record is from RNAcentral.